AUACAGAGGGUGCGAGCGUUAAUCGGAAUUACUGGGCGUAAAGCGUGCGUAGGCGGCUACUUAAGUCAGAUGUGAAAUCCCCGGGCUCAACCUGGGAACUGCAUCUGAUACUGGGUAGCUAGAGUUUUGGAGAGGGAAGUAGAAUUUCAGGUGUAGCGGUGAAAUGCAUAGAGAUCUGAAGGAAUACCAGUGGCGAAGGCGACUUCCUGGCCAAAAACUGACGCUGAGGUGCGAAAGCGUGGGUAGCAAACGGGAUUAGAAACCCUAGUAGUCC
This 274-nucleotide ribosomal RNA is filed under the name uncultured bacterium. RNAcentral's name for it is "partial 16S ribosomal RNA". It matches the Rfam family "Bacterial small subunit ribosomal RNA", at positions 523 to 796 of the family's 1533-position model. The record is from RNAcentral.